This 135-nucleotide transfer RNA is filed under the name Enterobacter asburiae. RNAcentral's name for it is "tRNA-OTHER". Lineage: Bacteria; Pseudomonadati; Pseudomonadota; Gammaproteobacteria; Enterobacterales; Enterobacteriaceae. The record is from RNAcentral.
GUAAGCGGUAUCAAAUGUAGGGUGAUAGAAGAGAAUAUCCAUGGUCAUUCCUGCCUCUUAUUGCGCUGUUUUGUUUUCGUUUUCAAGUGGGUAUACGGCAACGUAUCGGGGGUUCGAAUCCCCCCCUCACCGCCA